RNAcentral lists this ribosomal RNA (255 nucleotides) under uncultured bacterium. RNAcentral describes it as "partial 16S ribosomal RNA". It matches the Rfam family "Bacterial small subunit ribosomal RNA", at positions 524 to 777 of the family's 1533-position model. The record is from RNAcentral.
UACAGAGGUCCCAAGCGUUGUUCGGAUUCACUGGGCGUAAAGGGCGCGUAGGCGGUGCGGUAAGUCUGCAGUGAAAUCUCUGGGCUCAACUCAGAGUCUGCUGUAGAAACUGCCGUGCUUGAGUGUGGGAGAGGUGAGUGGAAUUCCCGGUGUAGCGGUGAAAUUCGUAGAUAUCGGGAGGAACACCAGUGGCGAAGGCGGCGAUCUGGGGAAGAUACUGACGCUGAGGUGCGAAAGCGUGGGGAGCAAACAGGG